Varroa destructor (honeybee mite) is the source of this 7556-nucleotide RNA transcript. It is a transcript of the gene named tropomodulin-like, with no coding region annotated. The record is from RefSeq and is a predicted model, not a curated record. Lineage: Eukaryota; Metazoa; Arthropoda; Arachnida; Mesostigmata; Varroidae.
AUUAUCGAGCCUAACCUGGUGUAAAGACAGUAUCACAUAAUGUAGCUAAUGUAGCAUUUGCAAUUCAAACGUCAGGAUGUUUAUAUAUUGUAGGAAUAAUUUUUACAUUUCAAAUGAGUGACCUAGCAGCUUUGCAGAAUUUUUUCUCGGAGGGCAUAAUUCAGUUUUUUAAUAUUAUCAGGACCAAAUUUUCUUCAUAGUGUUUAUGUCCUCAGGAAGCGCGAGUUCAGUUGCUGUGCACUUAAAGAAAAACGUGUUGUUUUCUAAUAUUACGUCUUAGACACUUGGUAUUGCCUGCUGCCUAAUCAGUAAGAUGGUGUAUUAUGUUAUGCAUGCACUCAUAGCGAGCUUGAACUAUUCAAGGCCCAUGUACUGAACCUGAGCUGAUUAGGCUACAAGUACUAAAGCAGAUCGGGUGUUAUCUGUCGUUACGGAAGUUUCAGUUGUCUGUUUAAUUAAAUUAUUUUGACAAUAAUCGCUUAGAGCGUGUCAACCUUUAACGAUAAUUUGUAUAACAACGGUUCUUAAAAAGAGUUUUCUUAUUGGAUUGUGGAUUCACACACCCAGUAACUCAACACCUUUGGCCCGCAUUUUUUUAUAUAAGAUAGGAUGUUGAAUUGUCCGAUAUGUUUUUCUAUUUGCCUAUACCUUGUGUGUGUGUGUGAGCACUCUCGUAGAACGUUUCACACACUGUCAUCUUCAUGCAAGCAAGCUGGAAGACCGAUUGAGCGAGAUUGGCCGUUUAGCUUUCAAGAUCGAACGCUGCCGACUCGGCAGUCCAGCAGCGAGAUGAGCGACCAUGCGUUAUGCAGUCUUCUUUUAGUUGUUCUUGUUCUGCUUGUUCUUUACUGCCCGUUUGACGUCUUAAUUCGCCGACUGUUCACGCCUUGUGUGCGGUUCGUUUUGGCCCGAUAGUGAUUUUACCAACUUGUAUUUGCCAGCCGACUAUCGUCACGAGUAUAAACUAGUCAUCCUCUGGAUUUCAACACGGACACAGGGGAGUACCUUUAAAUGAGGUCGUGCGAUGACUGGACCAUUGAUAAGCGCGCUAUUCGGACGAACACUCUUUCAACAUUGACGAGCUAUCGAGAAAGCCGGAGGAAGAGGUCCUAGAUAGUAAAUGUUACUUUAAGCCGAUAGCAACUACGGUGAAAGACCGCGGCUAUCACAAGUGAAGCUAAAAAAAAACGGCUCGGCGAGGUAGUGACUAACCCUUUCAGGUAUAAGUCAGACGACCAUCUGUUGUGAGAUUGUUCAAAGCUGCUUACUACACCUGGCUGUUCAUCGUUCCUUGCUUAAGAGGACACAUCAUAAUCCUAUUGUAACCACAAUAUUUUCGAUAACAAGGAUUGUUUCAAACCGCAUGAAGAAGGGCUGGGUGACUCGUGAGCAACUUUGAGCACGUUGCCAUGGUAACCCCGAACGUGCAACUGUUGCUAGCUUAAAUACCAGACGUAAAAUCGCAGGUACUAGUCAUUUGUUACCAAUAACAAAUAUGUUUGUGUAAAUUUGUCAGUCUUAACGAAAUAUGCUAUAUAUAAAAACAAAUAAAAAUAAUACAGUACUUUCGAAUGAUGUAUAGAUGUAGAUAGUGCAUGUGUAUUUGUCUUACGUUUUUCCAUUUUUGCUCUAUGUGCUUACAUUUUCCUUAUAAACUAUUGGCAAUACUGCAAGUAUUUUAUGACUGAAAAAUCAUAUCAAUUCAACUAAACGUCGUAACAGGAACCGAUUCACUGAACAGACAAAUUACAUCUAAACUGUUUUGACUAAAAACGGUAUACAUACGCGCAAUUUUUCAAUAAACUUUAUAAGCCGGUCGAGAUGGACCUAUAAUUUUUCUACUUAGGUAUUGCAGAAUUCCUCCGAACGCACUUAUUUAACUGUAUUUCACCAGCUUAGAGGGCAAGCCACACAAACGUAGGUAGGCUGGAAGUUAAAUUCUGUUUAGUAAUAAUAAUCAUAAGUAAAUCUUCACGUUGUUAAAGUCACGUAAGUAUGUCGUUUGCCGUGAAUACUGUCUUUAUUGGGCGUCCAGCUAAUGUGCGAUAUAAUCGGUUGAUACCCUGCCGUCUGCGUUGUUUGGAUGGAUUAUUGUCACCUCUGCUAACUGAGAUUCCGUGAUAUUAUUUGUUUUUGUUUGAAAUGCUGUAUCUUUAAGGCUGUUAACUGAUUGGAAAGAGUCCGUGUAAAAUAAUACAUCAUUAAAUGUAAGAAAGGUUGCAGUGUAGGCGGUACAAGCACUCUCUAUUUAUAACGGUUGCGUCCGAAGUCGUUCGGGCAAGUUUAUCGUUAUCUUCUACCCUAAACAAAUUAUAGCAAGUGUUAGGGCUGGUCGCUCUGUACAAUUUGAGAGCUGAAUUUCAGGACGAUCGGCGCGUCCUAAGAUCAGGCCAAGAAGAAGAAGAAGAAUGUUCAGAGUUUACAGUAACGCUGCUCAAACCUAGUCUUUUUUAGACGCAUAGCUUCGAGUUCACACUGCCAAUAGUAGCUGCUGAAAAGGGUCUGUGUCCUAAAUGUCUGCUGCCACUGGAAUCCACGAAUCGCAUCGGCGGUUCCUAGUGACAACAACUGGAAAAACUACAGCAUCGAACCCUUCCGAACAUUCUUCCUUUAGCUAAUCUAGAGAAUUUAUUGUAUUUAGGAAAACAUAAUACAUAUAUUAAUCGCUUAAGUAUCAUACAAUCUAUCUAAUACAGUCGUAUGUAUGGGAAGCUUCUAACUGUGCUGAAAUGCAUGCAAAUGACUCUAGGACACAGUGAAGGCGACGCAAAUUUCAGACCCAGAAGCGGUCAGACGUUUCUACAGCUUGCACAACAAUCACCUGACGAUAGCACGGGUUCGCUUAUACUCCUCUUGUUGUGUAUACCAUGACAAUAUUAGUUUGUCUAACAAAAGGUCAUUUGCAUUUAACUAAUAAGCAUGGACAAUAGUUCUCGUUACACAUACACUGCAUUACUGUUGUUAUUUCUAAUAACAUAUGAGUCGUACGCUGUUGUCGUGAAGUUUCUCGGUGGCGAUUCUCACAUGGUCCACACUUCUCUAAUACCUGACGGGAGUGGGGGAGACGAGGUCGGUAAUGAAGGAAUUCUCAUUAAGUCAAUCUAUGUUACACGUAUGGCUACCGUCACUAGUACACCGCGAAGCCCGGACACACCAGCGACUUCCUCAAUUGGAAAAAAUUAAAGUUUUACUGAGCUCGACUCUACCAAUAGCCGUGAGAAAAGCAGUGCAAUCGACAGUGGUUUUGACUCAUUUUGCACGCGCAACAGACUGGUCGGCCAACGCAGUCUUUUCACUGUGCACUGUGUAUGUACGCACGCGUAGUGGCAGCAAUUGUCGAUCUAUUGAAGCAGUCAGUACCGUAGAUACGCCGCUGUCGUAUCCCUCUAUGUUGUAUUUUCUGCUGCGUAACUGUGUGUAUGAAUGUGUGCUUAGUUAACAACACACGAUUGACUGCUUGCGCGUAAGCAAUGCUGCUGCUUACGAAGCAACAGCGAUGGCGGCGGCGGUAAGAAUGCCAGAAGUCAUCGUAUUUGCUCGGGGAAGCGAAGCUUGUUCCUGAUGUUGCCGCUAUAGCGCAGCUGACAGCAACGGACUCAGAUUGCCUUGCAGUCGCCAUUAAACAACGAGGAAAGAGGGCCACAAUGCAAUCAGCCUGACCGUCGUUGUCGUUACGUUGCGACCGACGCUGCCUUUCCUCGCCACAGCCGCCGCCGCAAGUCACAACCUACCCGUAGACUCGAGUCUCUCAUACAAAUAUACGCAGAAAGCACAGACAGAUAGAAGAAUUGUAGUGGUUAUGCUGUACGAUGUAACGAUGCAAGCCAGCCGUCAACGAUCGUUGGGGCAGUAACGGCUGUGCAUGCCACAGCCACGACAGGCAGCAUAACUAGGCUCAGACAGGACCUCCGGUAUCUUUGCCGAGCUAGCGGAUAUUCUCGGUUAGACAAGGCCCGAGCUACAGUUAUUUGGCUAUCGCAGAUUUCUCAUAGGCGUUUAGCUCGUGCGUCUAUGGCCGUUCACUGGCACUUGUCGCGUUGAGCUUCUCGUUGAGUGGCCUGCUGCGGAAGGCUUAAAGGAGAACACGUCGACAAGCGCAAUCAGCUAGCCAGCACGCAAAGGCUUAUGAGGACGAAAAGCGAGGGCUGUCGCGCCACUGCCGGAAGACACUGUUUAUCGCACAGCCUGCUGUAGCGGCCGAAAUUGCAGCUGCACGGUACCCGUGGCUGUGGUGGUAACAGUAUUAACAGACCAAAGGAAGGCACGCAAAUAUCACGUCCUCGGCCACACGGCGUCGUCUUCGGGUGACGGCGAAUCGGCCGCGCAGCUGCUGCUGCGUGCCUGUUUAGGCUGGUAGCAGUUGGGUGCCUAUCUACUCUAUCUGCAGGCUUAGCUUCGCUAUCAAACAAGAAUGGGGCUGCGGCCGGCUCCACUCACACUCCAGACUUCUGAGAUACGAGUCGAAUUGUGUUGCCCUUCUGUGCUAAGCGAAAAGGAAUAGCACCGCCAACAGCAGCCAUCCGUCUAGAAACCAACCUUUUCUACUUAACCAUAUUUUUCUUCGCAAGACAAAUUCAAUUACAAGCUCAACUUAUAAUGCCCUCUGACCGCCCCGACACCCGAGUAUGCACUACCGCAUUGUCACAGGAUAUCGUGCUAAGUAAACGUGAAGCCAUAGCACCUAUCCAGAUAAUUUAACCUCGUCAUAAAGCUUCCUCCCCGCGUACGUCAGAUCAUACGCUCGAACCAUUCUAUCAAAGUUAAGAAACAACGUUAGUGCACGCAUUGUUCAACUACGUAGUGACCAACUAACAGAUCAGCCGACCUGCUUAGCUAGAGUUUAUCCGUUGUGUUCAUCGUUCCACUGAGUGUCGUCACUCGUCGCGAAGUUAGUGCGGCUGGCGGCCAUCCUUUUGGAAAAAUACUCAAAUACGCGCUUACGAGCGCACGAUAGAGAACACGCUCUUUGUGCUGGAUUGGAUGUUGAGCAUUGUUGAAAGGUGGUAGUUGGUGAUCAUUGAUCUCGACUCUGCUUGAAGCGUCCGUUUCGCUAGGUCGUGCUGGAGGCUUUUACAAAUAGAAUAGUUCUUGUAUUCACGUCCGUACAGGAUAAUAUCUCACGUUAACAUGAGGAUCGUCGUGCCGUAAUGACUGCUCAUUUCCAAAUUGACUGUGGAUCGAGCUGAGACGUCUUCUGACACGAUGCAGAUAGACGCAGUAAUAGUCUUGACGCUGUUCGAGAAAGUUCUUGUUCUAUUUUGAAGGGGAGGUGGCGAGCUAGUUCAGUCGCGUGCAGACGCGUUAGGAAUACGGUGGGCUAUCUAAGCUAAUUUCAAUAGCAGUGCCAGCUUCUAGCAGUUUCCGUCUCUUAUUCCAGAUAAAAGAGAAUCGCAGCCAAUAGAUUUCGAUAAUCGCUAAAAUGGAGUCCGAAAUUAGAGUCAAGGGCACGGUGAUGAAGAGACGACGAAGCCAGCUCGUCGAGGAUAUAAAUACCCACAUGGCUAAAACCAACGACAAGAUGGCCAUUUCAGAGUCGAUAUUGCGUGACAUGCGCCGCUAUGCGGACAUGGACAUCGAUGAUCUGCUCUCCAAACUAACAGACACUGAGAUCGAACAGCUUUCAAUGAUGGUCGAUCCUGACGACUCAAUGAUACCUCCCUCCGAAAGAUGUAACUAUCGUACGAAUAAAGAACCAACAGGCCCUUUAAAUCGGCAGAGGUUGUUGAAGUUUUUAGAAACCUAUGCAUCUCAACAGGAGGAUGUACCCGAGGUGGUGAAGUACCAGCCUGGGGUUAAAAGAGGUCGAGUUUGGGAGCCACCGACAAAAAAAGCCAGUGAACAGACAACAGAUGACAGUGUUCCGAUCGAGCUAGAUAUUGAAGAGUCACAAGCGCUGGCCAACGCGACGACAGCUGACCUCGUGGACCUCGCAGCUAUCUUGGGCCUACACAGCACGUGGGCAACGUUUGAAACUUUGGUGAAAGCUCACAUGCCCCGACCCCUUCCGCCGCUACCCGACAACCCCACGAAUCCCGAAAAAACCGCGCAAAAGGUGUAUAAUGACGAUGACGAUAUGGUCGAGCUGAACUGGAACAACAUUUCAACAGUAAAGCGCGACGCUUUUCGAAUGCUCUUUGACGGUCUUCGGCGCAACACAAACCUUACAGCGUUGUCUUUAGCCAAUACGCGGCUAACGGACUCAGCGGCCGAACACUUGCUCGAGGCUCUUCGAUCUAACAAACAUCUACGUAUUCUUAACGUUGAGUCUAACUACCUCUCAGGCAACAUGCUCAAGCACAUCUUCGAAGCAAUCAACGUUACCCAAACCGUUACGGAGUUUCGUGCGGCUAAUCAGCGACCGUCCAUUCUCGGCAGUAAGGUGGAAAUGGAGAUUGCGCGGUUAGUAGAGCAAAACAGGACUAUACUUUCGGUGGGCCUACAUCUUAAUUUCGCUGACGCACGAACACGAGUUGCCGUUCACUUGGAGCGUAACCUCGAUAAAGUUCGGAAAUUACGGGUAGGAAAAGAUUGAGACCCAAAGGUAUUAAGUCUCUAGUAUACGACGCAUGUGUAAUAGAGUGGGCCUACGAAGCGGAGAUCUGCGAAGCACACUGGGUUACAAACCAUGGGGAUGAAAAAGAAAUAACAAAGCGAGAAGUAAUCCCGAAAACGUCUGGCUGUAUGAAAAGGGAAUACAUAAGGACGUGAAGCGAGCGGUGUUGAAUGAGACAAUCCGUUUUUGAUCGAUGUAGCUGUCACGUGGUAAACAUGACAACGUUGGCUAAAGCGCUUGUAGCUAUCGUGUCGUCUGAUAGCAAACUGGUAUAUUUUAUCUAAUUGACAGUACGUUAUCUGAAUCGGUGUCCGGUGAAAUCCGUCGCUAAUGAAAAUAAAAAUGUUUUCCAUUCCUAGCUGCCCCUUUUUCUUCUCAGGGAAUCAUAUGUUAGAUGUCACCGAAACAGCAGGUGCCGAUCUAGGGCAAAUUAUUUGAAAUUUCUGUUCAAGCAAAUUCCAACAAUGGCCAACUGGUAAUUGAAUAUCAACUUGGGUGAUGCAAAGGAUAUAAUGAAUAGCAAUCAUUGAUUUUCAACCUUUUUUUUUGAAUCUAUUCUUAGCAUAGCAUGUUUCGCCCAAAUUGAUACUCGUAUACUGAAAACUCGAAAGAAAAAAAAAAGUAUUGAGCCUGCAAUAGGCGUUUCUUCGUGAGCCUUAGACAGGCACAAAUCAUGAUAUCCGUAUUUCUAGUUGCUCCUCCAAGCCAGUCGGUUACUGUAACACAAGAUACACUCGAACGAAACUUCUUUUUAUUAGACUACAAAUCUGCAUUUUCCUAACCUAGGAAUAUGCAUACUUGACUCAUUAGUAAAAAAAUAUCCAUUUGUCGAAAGUAUAAUUCCACAAUAACGGGAACGUUCCCGCUGCUCACUUAUCUACCUUCUGCUAUAUUUUUCAUCGCGUCUAAAACAGGCUUUUUCUGAAAGCAGUAACAUGGAGACGUGCUAUGGAAAAUAUAUCUAUAACAAGAAAAAAAUCUUAUUACUAUAAAAUGUUAAUUA